AGGACUAACGCUGGCGGCGUGCCUAACACAUGCAAGUCGAACGAGGUAGCAAUACCUAGUGGCAGACGGGUGAGUAACACGUAGUCAACCUUCCCGAUAGUGGGGGAUAACUAGCCGAAAGGUUAGCUAAUACCGCAUACGAUCUUCGAGUGGCAUCAUUUGAAGAUGAAAGGAGCAAUCCGCUUUCGGACGGGACUGCGUCCCAUUAGCUAGAUGGUGGGGUAAUGGCCUACCAUGGCAACGAUGGGUAGCUGGUUUGAGAGAGCGACCAGCCACACUGGGACUGAGAAACGGCCCAGACUCCUACGGGAGGCAGCAGUGAGGAAUUUUUCCGCAAUGGGCGAAAGCCUGACGGAGCGACGCCGCGUGUGGGAAGAAGGCCUUCGGGUCGUAAACCACUGUCGAAGGGGAAAUACUGAUGGUACCCUUGGAGGAAGCCCGGCUAACUACGUGCCAGCAGCCGC
This 464-nucleotide ribosomal RNA is filed under the name uncultured bacterium. RNAcentral describes it as "SSU rRNA". It matches the Rfam family "Bacterial small subunit ribosomal RNA", at positions 26 to 518 of the family's 1533-position model. The record is from RNAcentral.